UUGUGACACAUAUGAACCUGGAGCUCUGAUCCAACUUGUCACGGCCCAAAUCUCCCUCUGUAAGACUUCGUGACGACACCUAGUCUUUAUAACUAGGUAAAACUAUUAAUUUGUGGAAUAACGAAAAUAAAAGAAUAAUUUAAUAACUAACUUCAUUUCAUAACUACAAAACUAAUAAAAUGUCGCUCGACAUGUAUAAGUAAACCAACACUCAAGCAUAACAACAUUCCCAAAAUCUGGUAGUCACAAUUCACAAGCUUCUAGGAAAUAACAAAGUGCCUCUAUACAUCAGAGUCUAAGGAAAAUAUAGAAAGAAACAACAUAGGAGGCAAUAGAGGGGGACUCCGAGGUCUGUGGACGCUGGAAGAUAUACCUUGAAGUCUAUGUAACAACAGCAAGUACUCUCAGCUAAUAGCAGGGUUGGUAGGAGGUACCUGGGUCUACACAAAAAACAUGUGCAGAAGAGUAACAUGAAUACACCACGACGAUAUCCAGUAAGUGUCAAGCCUAACCUUGGUAGAGUAAUGACGAGGUCAGGUCAAGGCCUUACUGGUAUAUAAUAAGUAAGACAAAAGAUAUAAUAUUGUGAAAAGAUUGAGAAUAUAACAAGGAGAGUUCUGUAGAAAUAACAUGCAACACAUAGUGAUAAACAACAGGGGCGCUCCCGAGAUACCAUCUCCUUGUCCCAAAAGUAAAUACUCAGUAGGAGAUCUCCCGAGAUACCGUAUCGUAGCCCCAAAAGUAAAUAUGCAAGGAGAUCUCCCGAGGUACCACCUGGUUGUCUCUAAGGUAAAUGUGUAGGGAGAUCUUUCGAGGUACCGCCUCGUAGUCCCAAAGUAAACACACAGCUCAAAAAGCCGAUGGAAACAGCAAUUAACAGCAAGAACUCUACAGUUAAGACUGAUACGAAUCAAGGAAAAAUAGGAAUUCAACUAAGCAUGCUGCACAUAUUUCAAAUAAGCAUUUAAGACACAUAGACAUGUGAUAUUAGGAUAACAAGAUAAUUGCACAUGCUAGUAUAACUCAAUUAAGAUGUAAUAGGUUAAUGCUCCCUGAAAAAAUCGGAUAUUACAACAAUUAUCUCGUUACACACUCAUCACCUCGUGUACACGGCCCUCACAUAUAACAUAACUAUCAUAACAAUACCAAAUCCUAAGGGAAUUUCCCCCACACAAGGUUAGGCAAGCCACUUACCAUGAACCAAGCUCAAUCAAUCAGUAAGAAUGCCUUUUCCAUGAUUUUCCGACUCUGAAUGGCCCAAAUAUAGCUAAAAGCAAUUAUAUAACAUAAAUAUAACUAUAAGAAACUAAUCUAAUUAAAGAAAUCAAGACUUUAACAAAAAAUUAGAAAAUUGCCCCAAAAAAGUCGACAUGUGCCCAUGUCUCAGAAUCGGGUAAAAGUCACAAAAUACGAACAUCAAUUCACCCACGAGUUCAUUCGCAUCAAAAUUACUCAAAUCCGAUAUUAAGAUCUCAAUCAAAGCCCAAAAAUUUUGUUGAAGAACUUUUCCCACUUUUUCCCAAAUUUCUUAACUCAAAUCUCAAAUUAGAAGGUGGAAUUAAGGAUAGAUUAGCGGGAUAUAACAAAAAACAAUUGAAGAAUCAUUACCCAAUCGAUGCAUCCAAAAUUUCCUCAAAAUUUCAUCCAAAUCUGAGUUCUUUAUCUCAAGUUUUGAUAAAAAUGGCAAAAGUCGCGUUUUUGAAAUGUUUAUGACUGUCCAAUGAUCCCUUCUUCACGUAUACGGAAACAUCCUCGCGUUCACGAAGCAUAAAAAUGCUUCACUCCAAAAUUCUUCAUUGCGAACGUGAUGGCCUAAUCGCGACGUGAAGCUUACUCAGCUUGACCCUACGCGAAUGCGAGACACUCACCGCAAAUGCGUUGGCUAAUUACCUGGGGAUCCAUCUGCCCUUUUCUCUAUGCGAACGCGAGGGCCUAAUCGCGAACGCGUAGGCCGAAGACCAAAGUGCGUCGUGAACGCGGAACAUACUUCGCGAAUGCGAAGGUCAAUUUUCAGUAACACUCAAACUUCCUCUACGCGAACGUAGGAGAACCUUCAUGAACGUGUAGAAGGAAACCAGACACCGGCAAUUCGAAGAACUUCAGUUGCAACACUAAGUCCAAAUUUAUCUGUUAACCUUCCAAAACUCACCCAAGGCCCACCGGGACCUCGACCAAACAUACCAAUAAUUCCUAGAAUAUCAUACGAACUUAGUCGAGCCCUCAAAUCACAUCAAACAAUAACAUAAACACGAAUCACACUCCAAUUCAAACUUUAUGAACUUUGAAAUUUCAAACUUCUACAACCGAUGUCGAAACCUAUCAAAUCACGUCCAAUUGACCUCAAAUUUUGCAUGUAAGUCAUAAUUAACAUUACGGACCUACUCUAACUUCCGAAAUCGGAAUUCGACCUUGAUAUCAAAAAGUCUACUUCAGGUCAAACAUCCCAAAAAUUCAACUUUCGCCAUUUCAAGCUUAAUUCAGCUACAGAACUCCAAUUAACAAUAUGGACACGGUCGUAAGUCCAAAAUUACCCAAUGGAGCUAACGGAACUGACGAAACUCCAUUAUGAAGUUGUCCUCACACAAUUUCUACUAUGGUUAAAAUCCUAGAACUUAAGCCUCCGUUUUAGGGAUUAAGUGUCCGAAAUCACUCCGAAACUAAAACAAAACUUCUCGGCAAGUUACAUAAGCAGAAAAAGAUGCCGGAAAAGUAGUAAAUAGGGGAUAGAGGCUAACUCUCAAAACGACCGGACGGGUCGUCACAUUGGGGAAGGGCAAGAUUUUUUAGCCUAAAGGAUCACCUCGUGCAAUAUAAAGAAUACUUCAAUAUCUGAAGUGCAAUGGUUGCUCAUAUUAUCCAGCGAGCACAGACUAUCAUCUCCAGCUACCAGAUUACUAUCUUUAAGUUAUUUAUCUAAAGUGCACUAAUUCAAUUCUAUGUCAUGCCUAUCCGUCCCAUGCCAAUUGUAUAGGAGGCAUUGGACAACUAUAAAGGGUGGUUCUAGACUCAACCUAAGGCUGCUCAAAAUUAAAACCUAGGUGCCAAAUAGUUUAAAUAAGUAGGACUUCAAAAGGGCACAGUUAAUAUAAAGGGCUCACAGGUUAAUGCACAUAAUAUAAAGGUCUUCAACAAGUUGAUUCACAUAAGUGCCAAUUAUUACUAAUUAAACGGAUUUUGAAGACGUGGUAUAAUUAAAGGAGAAUUGGUCUAUGAUGUGAUUUCUAAUUGUGGGAUUGGACUGGAAAACUUAUGAAUUAUCGAAUUACUUGAUUUGGACCAAAACAUGAUUUUUAGGUGAAGUUGUGAGUGGCCAGUCGUGAUAGUGAACAAGGAAUAUGAACUAAUUAGAUGUUGAGCCUAUAUACAUGAUUUCUACGUGGACAUCAUAGAAAAGAAGAAUUCAUUGUUAGAUGUUAUAGGCAGGAUAUCUAUAUGAUUCGAGUCUUAGAUUGUUAGGUUAUGCAGGGGUCAAGUAAUGCAAUCUUAUAGAAAUGAUUUCUAGGCAUAGGGCAUUAGAAACAUAGUUUUCAAAACAUGGUAGCACAAACAGUUAUGCAAUAUAGCAUAAAAGUCCUAUAGACACGAUUUCUAAGUGUGCGAUCCUAAGACAUGAUUUCUAAGUGUAGUAGCAGACAGUCCAACAAAUUAGCAUAGAGUAGGUCCUAUAGGUAUGAUUUUUAACUUAAAGACUUAAGCAAAUGACAUUCAUACAGUGAAAAAGAUAAGCAAGCAAUUAAUACAUAAGAGACCCUAAAGGCAUGUUAACUAGGUGAUAAUGUUGGUUCAUUAGUCUAUUAGACAAACUUUGUAGGCAGUGCCUCAUUCGUAUUAGUUAAAGUCCUAGGCUCAUGGUUUCUAAGUGAAGCAGGUAAGAGAUAAAUUUCCUAUGGGCAUGAUUUUCUAAUAGCAAGUAGCAUAUAGGAAAUUAAAUAUGAUUUACGAUGACAAGUAGCAGGCAAUGAUGUUUAAACUUAUAGGCAUGUUAUCUACCCAAGAAUUAAGCUAUCUGAGGCCCAAUUCACUAUCUCCCCCACUAUUUUCUUUACAAGUUAUUACAGACCAACAAAAGUAAUUACAGGCCAAUAAAAAAACAAAAAUACAUGGGCCACAAACCCAAUAACAAGACAACUAAAUAUAGUGAACCCAAGUAAUUUGGGCCUUCAUAGUUUUCUGGAACACAAAUGAGGCACAUAAGUUGCACCAUAACUCAGCAGAAGUAAAAAGAGCUCUUAAUUGAAGGUGUUACUCGACUGAUCGCGGAGGUAGGUAUUACAAAACUAUAUGCUUGACAAGUUAAGGAACUAGGGUCGACAAGACAUACAUCUAGAGAUAGACCUUCUAAGUGCUCAUGAUAGUGUAUAUUAUAGAAAAUAACCAAUCAACAUAGUGCAAAGAGGAAGAAUUUCAUGCCAAACAAUACAAGUAAUGAAUUGAACCUUGUAUGCUUCUCGAUUACGCUUGUUAUCGGUUUAGAGAAGAAUACUAAACCAUAAUGAAUCGAUCCUGCCUAAACGAGUAGCUAAAGGUUCAUAAACAGGUUCAUUGUCAACACACACAAAAAAAUGGUUUUCAAGAAGCCUGAAUACACAUACUAACUUCUCCGAUUUCAGGUUCUAUUUGCGAUUAAGAACAUUAUGAGCAAAAGUUAGUAAGUCUAAUGGUCUAACUCAAUAUGGCAAAGAACACAAGUGAGAUAUCUUAAUAAUUAAUAUGAAUCCUCAUCCCUGAUCAACUUCCAAGUAUGAUAACAUGUUAGAACAGACACCACAAAGGACAAACCAAACAACAGUUGGAAUGAUAAUCCUACUUAGUCAAUUAGUUAAACCUAAUUGCAUAGACAAGCAUCAUACAUUCAUGGUUAAACAGACACAUCAACAAUAGCACUUUCAAGAGAUGAGAUAGUAGCAAGAAUUCCCCUAUGAGCAUGCUUUAACCAUAAAAUCAGGACUUAGAACAUAAUUUGUAAGCCAUUCAUGGUAGCUAACAGUAAAUCAUAAGAAUAGAGAUUAAAGAAUCUAACCAAGCAGAGAAGUAACAAAAGCAAUAAACAGAUAUUGAAAGAGCCCCAAAUCGUAUCUCUAGGACCUCGAAUCGGGCUAUUUAUAGUUCACAAUGACCUCUUGGGAUCCCGAGAACUGCUUAUGUCAAGAAAAGGUCUAAAGAAUCAGUACUUGGUGGCCUUGGCUUUUAUCCGACCACAAAUCAACCAAACAAAUAGUAGAACCAAGUAGAAUCAAAAGAACACCGAACAAAGAACAAUAUGUGAGAGUUAUACGUGUGAGAACACGAGUGACCUACCCUCCAUAGGUUGAGUAGUAUGAAAUAUAACCAUAUCUGAGUCCUAGGCACCCAGGAAAGGUAAGAAAAUAUUUGAUUUGCGGGGAAUGAAAGGGAAAGGGCGAAAAGGCUUUGUGGCCGCUAGGGUUCAUCGUGAGAAAGAUAAGAGGCGGCGAGUAAUAGAGGAAAUGGUAUUCGGGUUAGGGGUUUGGCUGGAUAAGAAAAAUGGGGGGCUGUGAGUCGAUGAUCA
Molecule: long non-coding RNA, 5527 nt
Filed under: Nicotiana tabacum (common tobacco)
Lineage: Eukaryota; Viridiplantae; Streptophyta; Magnoliopsida; Solanales; Solanaceae
Description: long non-coding RNA (NTAB_LNC002431)
Source: RNAcentral